GAGUUUGAUCCUGGCUCAGAAUCAACGCUGGCGGCGUGCCUAACACAUGCAAGUCGCACGAGAAAGGGUAGCAAUACCUGAGUACAGUGGCGCACGGGUGAGUAACACGUGAAUUAUCUACCUCCGAGUGGGGAAUAACUGAGAGAAAUCUUAGCUAAUACCGCAUAACACUUACGAGUCAAAGCAGCAAUGCGCUUGGAGAGGAGUUCGCGGCCGAUUAGUUAGUUGGCGGGGUAAUGGCCCACCAAGACGAUGGUCGGUAUCCGGCCUGAGAGGGCGCACGGACACACUGGAACUGAAACACGGUCCAGACUCCUACGGGAGGCAGCAGCGGGAAUUUUGCGCAAUGGGGAAACCCUGACGCAGCAACGCCGCGUGGAGGAUGAAAUAUCUUGGUAUGUAAACUCCUUUCGAUGGGGAAGAUUAUGACGGUACCCAUAGAAGAAGCCCCGGCUAACUUCGUGCCAGCAGCCGCCGCCGUAAG
RNAcentral lists this ribosomal RNA (484 nucleotides) under uncultured bacterium. RNAcentral's name for it is "bacterial SSU rRNA". It matches the Rfam family "Bacterial small subunit ribosomal RNA", at positions 9 to 527 of the family's 1533-position model. The record is from RNAcentral.